AUCACCUGGGGAUCUUGUUAACAUUCAGGUUCUGAUUGAGUAGGUCUGGAGGAAAGACUGAGACUCUGAAUUUUUAACAAGCCCCUAGGUGAUGCCAA
RNAcentral lists this microRNA precursor (98 nucleotides) under Camelus bactrianus (Bactrian camel). RNAcentral's name for it is "mir-544 microRNA precursor family". It matches the Rfam family "mir-544 microRNA precursor family". The record is from Rfam by way of RNAcentral. Lineage: Eukaryota; Metazoa; Chordata; Mammalia; Artiodactyla; Camelidae. RNAcentral also lists the same sequence under 2 other names.